UCUUGCAAAUUCAUUGAUGAAGGUGUCAAUUUGAUGUGUUCAAUGAGAUAAGGUCAUUGGGAUAAGUGCAUAGGCAUCUACUUCAGUUGCAUUGAGUUACCAUAUCCAAUCUCAUUGAGCAAGGUGCCUAAUUGUUUCUUAUUGACAGCCUAUCAUCAAGAAUCAGAGUAAUAUUUGGAUAUCAUUUUCACCAAGCACUUGAACAUCGCAAACAAAUUUAAUUAAAUCUCCCAAGGUUACUGAAAUAUCAAAAAUUGUUGGUGGAAAGAUUGAUAUUUAAAUCACAGGGAGAGUGAUUAAUAUUUGGACAAGACGUUGUUCAGGCUACAAUGGAUUCUUCAUAUCUUUGGAUAUUUUUUUGAGGUUCUAACAUUAAUUUAAAAUAUAAGACUUUUGUUGGGAGCUUGAUUCUAAUGUUGAAGAGAGAAAAGUAUUCUCAUAAUGGAUUUUAUGUAUUGGUGAUGGAAGUAUAGAAAAAAACAACGAUGUAGAUAUCAACAUUGGUAUACACUUGAUGCAAUUCUACAUAGCACAUAUCCUAAUCUUUUGCAGAACAUGGAUGACCCAUCAUUUUUUCAAGAUACUUUGGAUCCCAAAAAUGCAAUUGUUGAUAUGGUAAUUGAUCACAUGUUAGAUUUGAUGUCCGAUGAAAAAAAAAAUUAAGUUGUGAUUCUCCGUAUUAUGCCAAGUCAAGCAAUGGAACAUGGUUAGUAAUUAUAAAGAUGGAAAGAUAUGUCCUUGAAGAUAAUGUAAUAUCAGAAAGCAAUAUUGGUCAGAAGGUUUAUAUCUCAAGAUUAUCAUUGACUCCUUCUGAAAAAAGGCUCCCUUUCAUGUUUCAACGACAACAAUUUUCAUUGAUCGUUUCAUUUGUUAUGACUAUAUAUAAAAGUCAAGAGUAAUCACUUAAGCAUGUUGGGGUAUAUUUGCCUCAAUCAAUUUUUUUUCAUGGACAACUAUAUAUUGCAUUAAUGUCAAGAGUUACUUCAAGGACUUGAAGAUAUUGGUUAUUGAUGAGGAAGGUGAACAUAUAAAUAUGGCAUUCAAUAUGGUUUAUAAAGAAAUAUUUCAAAUAAUGGUCAAAUUCUACAAAACUAAAAUCAUACUCAAAUUCUACUAAACUAGACUU
Molecule: long non-coding RNA, 1126 nt
Organism: Medicago truncatula (barrel medic)
Lineage: Eukaryota; Viridiplantae; Streptophyta; Magnoliopsida; Fabales; Fabaceae
Exons: 3
Source: RefSeq, a predicted model, not a curated record